CAGCAGAGGAUUCACCUCCGCGAUGCUGCAGCACAGAGAAGAGUGGAGGCGAUGAAAAACAUGAGCCCGGGCCACACACAGAUCCAAACUGUGGUUUCUCCAUCCAUGUCUGUGGAAGUGAUUUAGGACAGAAGUUGCUGGCCAGUGUUUACCACCAACUGGACCCACGCCCACUCUCUUCCCAUUGUCCUUCCUGUUGUCCGAGACCAGCUCAGACAGCUGCCGAAUCCGGUUUGUUCCUGCUUGGAGGAUCUCUAGGAGAGCUAAUUGGCACUGCCCAGGACGGCCUGUCCCUGCUCACAUCUCACCUACUACCACUUUGUACUAGUUCCUCAGUCCUCUGUGAAUAAACUCUUUACUUUGA
Long non-coding RNA from Micropterus dolomieu (smallmouth bass), 364 nucleotides. RefSeq lists it as uncharacterized. The record is from RefSeq and is a predicted model, not a curated record. The transcript is spliced from 3 exons. NCBI's taxonomy places the organism in Eukaryota, Metazoa, Chordata, Actinopteri, Centrarchiformes, Centrarchidae.